Long non-coding RNA from Carassius gibelio (silver crucian carp), 1295 nucleotides. RefSeq lists it as uncharacterized. NCBI's taxonomy places the organism in Eukaryota, Metazoa, Chordata, Actinopteri, Cypriniformes, Cyprinidae. The transcript is spliced from 2 exons. The record is from RefSeq and is a predicted model, not a curated record.
AUUUUCAGCAAAUUUUCUUUUUUGGGUGGAAAAUUCCUUUAUUAAUCUUUAACCUGAACACCAUUUUAAAAGAACAUUGUGCCAAAAACAUAAUAUGAAUAUAAUCAAAAUAGAAGUGAUUUUAUCAUUUCAGUAAUGUACUGUACAUUGGUUAGCCAACAACUGUUUAUUGUUAUUAAGUAGAUAUUUUGGAUAAAUAGCUAACCAACUAACGUUAAACCAACAUUAGUGACAAUAUCUGUUGAUGAUCUUUAAGGAAAGUCUGAUAUUUCAUAUGUGAAGACUGAAGGAUCACAAACACCAACUCUUAAGAUGAAGGACAAGGUGGUGAAGACAUAUUUGGAGACUGUCAGCGAUUACAGAUUCCAUUCCACUCCUGUUCAGGAAUGCUGGCUGGUACCAUUCCAGUCUGUGAUGGAGGCAGAGAUUUCUGAUUUCACUGUCACUCAGCUUUAGAGUUAACAAACAGCGUUUCCUUUUGAUUUUGAUGGUUCAUGUUAAGUAAAUGCAUCAAUGGUUUAAUUCUACCUGGCCUAGGAAGACAUACAUUCAAUUGUCUUAAAUAUAUAGUUUGCUUGAUAUGCUGACUUUUUGUUUUUGUUUAUGAAAAUUAACUUUCCACUGAUUAAUCCAGAUUAAUGCUUAAUACAUAAAGCUGAUUGAGUUGGGUAGCUCAUUUCAACAGGAGGGAACAUUUAAGUCCAUGAAAGUGAUUUUGUGCUUUUUUGGAAUAGCACAAAGUGAUGUUCACUUGUAGAAUGCAAGCUUCUAGAGGGCACAUAUGUCAGAAGUAAUACAUUUAGGUAAAGGGGUGCAGAGCUAGAGGUGGUUUUGUAGGCAAACAUUAAUGCCUUGAAUUUUAUGUGAGCAGCUAUUGGUAAUCAGUGCAUACUGAAAAACAGAGGUGUGACAUGCAUUCUUUUUGGCUCAUUAAAAAUUGAUCUUGCUGCAAUGUUCUGGUUUAUUUGUAAUUGUAAAUUAAUUGUUGUUCUUUCAUUAUGCCUCCAUGCUGAAAAUAUAUAUUUUUUAAUAUAAUCAAAGAAUACAUGUUAAAAUUGGGUAUCCGAACUGAUUGCACUGUAUUUUUACUCUUUUUUUAAAUGUAAAAUAAUUUUUUGUUUCUAACUGUUUUUAAAUUCAUUUUAAUUAAGUACAUUUUUAAAUAAUUUCAAACGUUUAAAAAUUGCUUGUUUUAUUUUAGUUAUUUUUCUUCAUGAUUAUUUUAUGUAAAGCCCUUUGAAUUACCAUUGUGUACGAAAUGUGCUCUAUAAAUAAACUUGCCUUGCCUUGCCUUA